GGGGGCGUGGCGGAAUGGUAGACGCUACAGACUUAAAAUCUGUUGAUGGUAACAUCGUGUGGGUUCAAGUCCCACCGCCCCCA
Molecule: transfer RNA, 83 nt
Filed under: Neosynechococcus sphagnicola sy1
Lineage: Bacteria; Bacillati; Cyanobacteriota; Cyanophyceae; Neosynechococcales; Neosynechococcaceae
Rfam family: tRNA
About the family: Transfer RNA (tRNA) molecules are approximately 80 nucleotides in length.
Source: Rfam by way of RNAcentral